CCGCCAGCUCCCCCACCGCCGCCAACCCUGGCCUUGGCAAAUACUGAAAAACCAUCCUUGAGCAGGUCAGAGCAAGCAGGGCGAAAUGCUCUAUUAUCUGAUAUCACCAAGGGAAAAAAGCUAAAGAAGACUGUUACAAAUGACAGAAGUGCUCCAAUUCUAGACAAACCCAAAGGACCUGGUGGAGGUGGUGGUGGC
This is a non-coding RNA of Tinamus guttatus (white-throated tinamou), 198 nucleotides long. NCBI's taxonomy places the organism in Eukaryota, Metazoa, Chordata, Aves, Tinamiformes, Tinamidae. The record is from RefSeq and is a predicted model, not a curated record.